This is a long non-coding RNA of Lactuca sativa (garden lettuce), 655 nucleotides long. RefSeq lists it as uncharacterized. Lineage: Eukaryota; Viridiplantae; Streptophyta; Magnoliopsida; Asterales; Asteraceae. The record is from RefSeq and is a predicted model, not a curated record.
UAUUGAAUGUAUAUCAAAGUUUGUUUACUUUCUUCCAUUUGCAUGCCUUUAAUAAUUCAACAAUAUCCACUACUUCUCUUCCUGUAGUCUUUAUCUUAUCCUCAGCCCUUAUCCACUCCACAUCUUCACAAUCCUAUAAAUGCGACACUUGGCAUUCAGGUUUCAGUAAAAUUCACAAUAUUCAGUAAAUUAGUAGUCAUAAUAUACCUUCGAGAAUGUAAUUGAAGGAAGUAACGAAUGAAGAAGUCGCCGAUCAAUCCACAUGCAAUGAAAAUGGAGAAUAGAGAUAGAAAGAUAAAGUUUGAUAGAGCAAGAAGUGGAAGAGGCGGUGGAAGAUUUAUGGAAACGCCACGUAACCCCAUGUAAGCCGGUAGAAAAUGGAAGGAGGCAACACGCGUGCAACUCCAAAUUCAAGGGUCAUCGACUAAUCGACUAAACAGUUCCAAAAGUGAUGAAUAAAUAAAAACAAAAAAUCUAUGGAAAAUUAGAGAAAAGUAAGGAACAAACGGAACGCUGUUAAAUAUUGGGGCAAAAAGACAAAAAAGAAAACUUUAAUAUCUUAAGGACUAAAACUGUCAAAAGAAGCAAAGAAAUAUGGCAAAAGGAUGAAACAGUCAAAGAAGCUAGGAAUGAUGAACAUAUUCUUGUUUACUUA